AAUAGAUACCCUGGUAGUCCACGCCGUAAACGAUGAGUGCUAAGUGUUAGGGGGUUUCCGCCCCUUAGUGCUGCAGCUAACGCAUUAAGCACUCCGCCUGGGGAGUACGGUCGCAAGACUGAAACUCAAAGGAAUUGACGGGGGCCCGCACAAGCGGUGGAGCAUGUGGUUUAAUUCGAAGCAACGCGAAGAACCUUACCAGGUCUUGACAUCCCAUUGACCACUAUGGAGACAUAGUUUUCCCUUCGGGGACAACGGUGACAGGUGGUGCAUGGUUGUCGUCAGCUCGUGUCGUGAGCUGUUGGGUUAAGUCCCGCAACGAGCGCAACCCUUGUUCUUAGUUGCCAUCAUUUAGUUGGGCACUCUAAGGAGACUGCCGGUGACAAACCGGAGGAAGGUGGGGAUGACGUCAAAUCAUCAUGCCCCUUAUGACCUGGGCUACACACGUGCUACAAUGGACGGUACAAACGGUUGCCAACCCGCGAGGGGGAGCUAAUCCGAUAAAACCGUUCUCAGUUCGGAUUGUAGGCUGCAACUCGCUACA
This 544-nucleotide ribosomal RNA is filed under the name uncultured bacterium. Its description in RNAcentral is "bacterial SSU rRNA". It matches the Rfam family "Bacterial small subunit ribosomal RNA", at positions 777 to 1320 of the family's 1533-position model. The record is from RNAcentral.